RNAcentral lists this non-coding RNA (31 nucleotides) under Macaca fascicularis (crab-eating macaque). The record is from RNAcentral. RNAcentral also lists the same sequence under 1 other name. Lineage: Eukaryota; Metazoa; Chordata; Mammalia; Primates; Cercopithecidae.
UGAGUGGAUGCUGGUGAUUCUGGUAUGGAGU